RNAcentral lists this long non-coding RNA (293 nucleotides) under Lathyrus oleraceus (garden pea). RNAcentral describes it as "Pisum sativum (pea) long non-coding RNA (PSAT_LNC013276)". Lineage: Eukaryota; Viridiplantae; Streptophyta; Magnoliopsida; Fabales; Fabaceae. The record is from RNAcentral.
AAAAAAUGACGUACAUAAGUCCAGAUGGUCCAAAAAUGUCAUAUAUAAGUAAAAGACUAAUAAAUGUCAAAAUAGUCAAUAGCAACGAUAAAGUAGCAUAUUGUCAAAAUAAAAUUCAAUCCAUACUACUACUACUACUACUAUAUAAUAAUGCACUACUGUGGUGUCUGACUACAUCGCCUCUUCCUCCUCGACCAUCAACCCCCCCAUCCUCCAAUGCUGUCUCUGCUAAAUCAAUGUCCCAUAUGCCUUCGUCAUGAUGGCAUCUAGGACCUGCCUUAGAUCAGACCCAU